RNAcentral lists this unclassified non-coding RNA (353 nucleotides) under Hevea brasiliensis (rubber tree). Lineage: Eukaryota; Viridiplantae; Streptophyta; Magnoliopsida; Malpighiales; Euphorbiaceae. The record is from RNAcentral.
GAGAGAUUUAAAAUUCAGGUGAAAUGAAUAGGAUUUAGUUCAGUUUUAAGUUCAACAGUUUUCCCACCCCAUCCUUUCUACCCAAAAAAAUAUUGUAGAAGAGGGAGAGUCCAAGUAACAUAGAAAAUGGAUAGGCAAAGAGCCGCUUUGAUCACUACAAAAAUUGAGACAGUGAAGCAAUUAUAGGAAACUAUCACUCAGCAUAUCACUGAAGUUAGUGCAAGCACCGGAAAUAUAAGUCAUUACAAUAGACAAAGGCAAAUAACAACUAUGAGUUAAAAUGUAACAAGGCUAGUUUGUGGUUUGAAUCUUAGGAAAUUGGCCUUCAUAACAUAAAUUUCAUAAUCUUUAAC